This 29-nucleotide non-coding RNA is filed under the name Rattus norvegicus (Norway rat). Lineage: Eukaryota; Metazoa; Chordata; Mammalia; Rodentia; Muridae. The record is from RNAcentral.
UUGGAAAACUACCUUGGCCUUUAACGUAA